This 433-nucleotide ribosomal RNA is filed under the name uncultured bacterium. RNAcentral describes it as "partial 16S ribosomal RNA". It matches the Rfam family "Bacterial small subunit ribosomal RNA", at positions 29 to 507 of the family's 1533-position model. The record is from RNAcentral.
AGCGAACGCUGGCGGCAGGCCUAACACAUGCAAGUCGAACGAACUCUUCGGAGUUAGUGGCGGACGGGUGAGUAACACGUGGGAACGUGCCUUUUGGUUCGGAAUAACUCAGGGAAACUUGUGCUAAUACCGAAUGUGCCCUUCGGGUGAAAGAUUUAUCGCCAUUAGAGCGGCCCGCGUCUGAUUAGCUAGUUGGUGAGGUAACGGCUCACCAAGGCGACGAUCAGUAGCUGGUCUGAGAGGAUGACCAGCCACACUGGGACUGAGACACGGCCCAGACUCCUACGGGAGGCAGCAGUGGGGAAUCUUGCGCAAUGGGCGAAAGCCUGACGCAGCCGUGCCGCGUGAAUGAUGAAGGUCUUAGGAUUGUAAAAUUCUUUCACCGGGGACGAUAAUGACGGUACCCGGAGAAGAAGCCCCGGCUAACUUCGUG